ACUGAGGCGCUGACAGGUUGUGCGAACAUCAGUGCUUUAUGAUGAAGCUCUUUGAUUAAUCAGCAGAGACCACAGGAAAUGUCUUGACAGUAGAAAAUGUGGCUUCCGCUUGCAAAGGAGAAAAGCAGGUGCCAGGUGUUCAAAAAGGGAGCUGACCUGGCUGAACUCUUCCUUUAUGAUGAGCUUUGAAAAAUCUGCUUUAAGAUCACAGCACCCACAGAGGCAAUGACGUGUGGUGUUGUACGAUUGCCGUUUCUGCUCUACACGCCCCUCUUGGACCUGGCCAGAAUGCGGAAAAAGCGGCA
Long non-coding RNA from Cyprinodon tularosa, 305 nucleotides. RefSeq lists it as uncharacterized. The transcript has 3 exons. NCBI's taxonomy places the organism in Eukaryota, Metazoa, Chordata, Actinopteri, Cyprinodontiformes, Cyprinodontidae. The record is from RefSeq and is a predicted model, not a curated record.